RNAcentral lists this ribosomal RNA (307 nucleotides) under uncultured bacterium. RNAcentral's name for it is "partial 16S ribosomal RNA". It matches the Rfam family "Bacterial small subunit ribosomal RNA", at positions 524 to 831 of the family's 1533-position model. The record is from RNAcentral.
UACGGAGGGUGCAAGCGUUAUCCGGAUUCACUGGGUUUAAAGGGAGCGUAGGUGGCUUUGUAAGUCAGUGGUGAAAUAUUGCGGCUCAACCGCAAAAACUGCCAUUGAUACUGCUUAGCUUUGAAUCACGUCGAGGUGGAUGGAAAUAAUACAUGUAGCGGUGAAAAUGCUUUAGAUAUGUGUUAGAACACCGAUUUGCGAAGGCAGUUCACUAGGCGUGUAUUUGACACUGAGGCUCGAAAAGAUGGGGAUGAACAGAGUGAUACCCUGUAGGUCCAAGAACCAAUGAUCCUCUUCGCUACCCGUA